This 546-nucleotide ribosomal RNA is filed under the name uncultured archaeon. Its description in RNAcentral is "bacterial SSU rRNA". It matches the Rfam family "Archaeal small subunit ribosomal RNA", at positions 457 to 997 of the family's 1478-position model. The record is from RNAcentral.
GUCAGCAGCCGCGGUAACACCGGCGGCCCGAGUGGUGAUCGUGAUUAUUGGGUCUAAAGGGUCCGUAGCCGGUUUGGUCAGUCCUCCGGGAAAUCUGAUAGCUCAACUAUUAGGCUUUCGGGGGAUACUGCCAGACUUGGAACCGGGAGAGGUAAGAGGUACUACAGGGGUAGGAGUGAAAUCUUGUAAUCCCUGUGGGACCACCUGUGGCGAAGGCGUCCUACCAGAACGGGUUCGACGGUGAGGGACGAAAGCUGGGGGCACGAACCGGAUUAGAUACCCGGGUAGUCCCAGCCGUAAACGAUGCUCGCUAGGUGUUAGGCAUGGCGCGACCGUGUCUGGUGCCGCAGGGAAGCCGUGAAGCGAGCCACCUGGGAAGUACGGCCGCAAGGCUGAACUUAAAGGAAUUGGCGGGGGAGCACAACAACGGGUGGAGCCUGCCGGUUUAAUUGGACUCAACGCCGGACAACUCACCGGGGGCGACAGCAAUAUGUAGGCCAAGCUGAAGACUUUGCCUGAAUCGCUGAGAGGAGUGGUGGUGCAUGG